Molecule: ribosomal RNA, 473 nt
Filed under: uncultured bacterium
Lineage: Bacteria
Description: partial 16S ribosomal RNA
Rfam family: Bacterial small subunit ribosomal RNA
Source: RNAcentral
GACGAACGCUGGCGGCGUGCUUAACACAUGCAAGUCGAACGGUGAAGCCCCUUCCUUUUUGCUCGGGCUGCAAGAGUGGGGAUCGCGCGUGUAACACGUGCGCACCCCGCUCCGUUCUGCCUGAUAACCUCAUGCAAGUGUGGCUAAUACGCUUUAUUCUCGUGCUGUCUGAUGAUGGGUCUUGUCGGGUAGUGUUUUCGGCGGGGGAUGGGGUCGCGGCCUUUCAGCGUGUUGGUGGGGUGAUGGCCGACCAAGGCGGCGACGGGUAGCCGGCCUGAGAGGGCGACCGGCCACACGGGGACGGAGACACGGCCCAGACUCGUACGGGAGGCAGCAGUGGGGAAUAUUGCGCAAUGGGCGGAAGCCUGACGCAGCGACGCCGCGUGGGGGAUGACGGCCUUCGGGUUGUAAACCUCGUUCGAACCCGACGAAUUUGGACGGUAGGGGUAGAAGAAGCACCGGCCAACUACGUG